RNAcentral lists this unclassified non-coding RNA (335 nucleotides) under soil metagenome. RNAcentral's name for it is "partial contains 5.8S ribosomal RNA, internal transcribed spacer 2, and large subunit ribosomal RNA". The stretch from base 1 to 120 matches the Rfam family "5.8S ribosomal RNA", at positions 35 to 154 of the family's 154-position model. The record is from RNAcentral.
GAUGAAGAACGUAGCGAAAUGCGAUAAGUAAUGUGAAUUGCAGAAUUCAGUGAAUCAUCGAAUCUUUGAACGCACAUUGCGCCCGCCAGUAUUCUGGCGGGCAUGCCUGUUCGAGCGUCAUUUCAACCAUCAAGCCCCCGGGCUUGUGUUGGGGACCUGCGGCUGCCGCAGGCCCUGAAAAGCAGUGGCGGGCUCGCUGUCACACCGAGCGUAGUAGCAUACAUCUCGCUCUGGGCGUGCUGCGGGUUCCGGCCGUUAAACCACCUUUUAACCCAAGGUUGACCUCGGAUCAGGUAGGAAGACCCGCUGAACUUAAGCAUAUCAUAAGCGGAGGA